Unclassified non-coding RNA from Otolemur garnettii (small-eared galago), 295 nucleotides. Its record names the gene 7SK. It matches the Rfam family "7SK RNA". From Rfam's summary of the family: 7SK was discovered as an abundant small nuclear RNA in the mid-70s but a possible function has only recently been suggested. Two independent studies have found that 7SK RNA binds the CDK9/cyclin T complex (known as elongation factor P-TEFb). NCBI's taxonomy places the organism in Eukaryota, Metazoa, Chordata, Mammalia, Primates, Galagidae. The record is from Ensembl.
GGAUGUGAAGGAGAUCUGGCUGCGACAUCUGUCACCCCAUUGAUCGCCAGGGUGAUCUGGUUGGCUAGGCGGGUGUCCCCUUCCUCCCUCACUGUUCCAUGUGUGUCCCUCCCGAAGCUGCAUGCUAGGUCAGAGAGGACGGCCUUCCCCAAUAGAGAAGGACCUUUCUUCAAUCAAGGGUAUACAAGUAGCUGCGCUCCCCUGCUAGAACCUCCAUACAACCAAAAAAUAGUGAGACGUUGUGGUGGGCGCCUGUAGUCCAAGCUACUUGGGAGGCUCAGGCAAGGGAAUCCUU